This 488-nucleotide ribosomal RNA is filed under the name uncultured bacterium. RNAcentral describes it as "partial 16S ribosomal RNA". It matches the Rfam family "Bacterial small subunit ribosomal RNA", at positions 30 to 507 of the family's 1533-position model. The record is from RNAcentral.
AUUGAACGCUGGCGGCAGGCCUAACACAUGCAAGUCGAACGGUAGCACAGAGAGCUUGCUCUCGGGUGACGAGUGGCGGACGGGUGAGUAAUGUCUGGGAAACUGCCUGAUGGAGGGGGAUAACUACUGGAAACGGUAGCUAAUACCGCAUAACGUCGCAAGACCAAAGAGGGGGACCUUCGGGCCUCUUGCCAUCAGAUGUGCCCAGAUGGGAUUAGCUAGUAGGUGGGGUAACGGCUGACCUAGGCGACGAUCCCUAGCUGGUCUGAGAGGAUGACCAGCCACACUGGAACUGAGACACGGUCCAGACUCCUACGGGAGGCAGCAGUGGGGAAUAUUGCACAAUGGGCGCAAGCCUGAUGCAGCCAUGCCGCGUGUAUGAAGAAGGCCUUCGGGUUGUAAAGUACUUUCAGCGGGGAGGAAGGUGCUGAGGUUAAUAACCUCAGCAAUUGACGUUACCCGCAGAAGAAGCACCGGCUAACUCCGUG